AUAUUGUGAGCUCGAUGAGUAGGGCGGGACACGUGGUAUCCUGUCUGAAUAUGGGGGGCCCAUCCUCCAAGGCUAAAUACUCCUGACUGACCGAUAGUGAACCAGUACCGUGAGGGAAAGGCGAAAAGAACCCCGGCGAGGGGAGUGAAAAAGAACCUGAAACCGUGUACGUACAAGCAGUGGGAGCACGCUUAGGCGUGUGACUGCGUACCUUUUGUAUAAUGGGUCAGCGACUUAUAUUCUGUAGCAAGGUUAACCGAAUAGGGGAGCCGAAGGGAAACCGAGUCUUAACUGGGCGUUAAGUUGCAGGGUAUAGACCCGAAACCCGGUGAUCUAGCCAUGGGCAGGUUGAAGGUUGGGUAACACUAACUGGAGGACCGAACCGACUAAUGUUGAAAAAUUAGCGGAUGACUUGUGGCUGGGGGUGAAAGGCCAAUCAAACCGGGAGAUAGCUGGUUCUCCCCGAAAGCUAUUUAGGUAGCGCCUCGUGAAUUCAUCUCCGGGGGUAGAGCACUGUUUCGGCAAGGGGGUCAUCCCGACUUACCAACCCGAUGCAAACUGCGAAUACCGGAGAAUGUUAUCACGGGAGACACACGGCGGGUGCUAACGUCCGUCGUGAAGAGGGAAACAACCCAGACCGCCAGCUAAGGUCCCAAAGUCAUGGUUAAGUGGGAAACGAUGUGGGAAGGCCCAGACAGCCAGGAUGUUGGCUUAGAAGCAGCCAUCAUUUAAAGAAAGCGUAAUAGCUCACUGGUCGAGUCGGCCUGCGCGGAAGAUGUAACGGGGCUAAACCAUGCACCGAAGCUGCGGCAGCGACGCUUAUGCGUUGUUGGGUAGGGGAGCGUUCUGUAAGCCUGCGAAGGUGUGCUGUGAGGCAUGCUGGAGGUAUCAGAAGUGCGAAUGCUGACAUAAGUAACGAUAAAGCGGGUGAAAAGCCCGCUCGCCGGAAGACCAAGGGUUCCUGUCCAACGUUAAUCGGGGCAGGGUGAGUCGACCCCUAAGGCGAGGCCGAAAGGCGUAGUCGAUGGGAAACAGGUUAAUAUUCCUGUACUUGGUGUUACUGCGAAGGGGGGACGGAGAAGGCUAUGUUGGCCGGGCGACGGUUGUCCCGGUUUAAGCGUGUAGGCUGGUUUUCCAGGCAAAUCCGGAAAAUCAAGGCUGAGGCGUGAUGACGAGGCACUACGGUGCUGAAGCAACAAAUGCCCUGCUUCCAGGAAAAGCCUCUAAGCAUCAGGUAACAUCAAAUCGUACCCCAAACCGACACAGGUGGUCAGGUAGAGAAUACCAAGGCGCUUGAGAGAACUCGGGUGAAGGAACUAGGCAAAAUGGUGCCGUAACUUCGGGAGAAGGCACGCUGAUAUGUAGGUGAAGUCCCUUGCGGAUGGAGCUGAAAUCAGUCGAAGAUACCAGCUGGCUGCAACUGUUUAUUAAAAACACAGCACUGUGCAAACACGAAAGUGGACGUAUACGGUGUGACGCCUGCCCGGUGCCGGAAGGUUAAUUGAUGGGGUCAGCGCAAGCGAAGCUCUUGAUCGAAGCCCCGGUAAACGGCGGCCGUAACUAUAACGGUCCUAAGGUAGCGAAAUUCCUUGUCGGGUAAGUUCCGACCUGCACGAAUGGCGUAAUGAUGGCCAGGCUGUCUCCACCCGAGACUCAGUGAAAUUGAACUCGCUGUGAAGAUGCAGUGUACCCGCGGCAAGACGGAAAGACCCCGUGAACCUUUACUAUAGCUUGACACUGAACAUUGAGCCUUGAUGUGUAGGAUAGGUGGGAGGCUUUGAAGUGUGGACGCCAGUCUGCAUGGAGCCGGCCUUGAAAUACCACCCUUUAAUGUUUGAUGUUCUAACGUGGACCCGUGAUCCGGGUUGCGGACAGUGUCUGGUGGGUAGUUUGACUGGGGCGGUCUCCUCCUAAAGAGUAACGGAGGAGCACGAAGGUUGGCUAAUCCUGGUCGGACAUCAGGAGGUUAGUGCAAUGGCAUAAGCCAGCUUGACUGCGAGCGUGACGGCGCGAGCAGGUGCGAAAGCAGGUCAUAGUGAUCCGGUGGUUCUGAAUGGAAGGGCCAUCGCUCAACGGAUAAAAGGUACUCCGGGGAUAACAGGCUGAUACCGCCCAAGAGUUCAUAUCGACGGCGGUGUUUGGCACCUCGAUGUCGGCUCAUCACAUCCUGGGGCUGAAGUAGGUCCCAAGGGUAUGGCUGUUCGCCAUUUAAAGUGGUACGCGAGCUGGGUUUAGAACGUCGUGAGACAGUUC
Molecule: ribosomal RNA, 2253 nt
Filed under: Shigella sonnei
Lineage: Bacteria; Pseudomonadati; Pseudomonadota; Gammaproteobacteria; Enterobacterales; Enterobacteriaceae
Description: partial 23S ribosomal RNA
Rfam family: Bacterial large subunit ribosomal RNA
Source: RNAcentral